RNAcentral lists this ribosomal RNA (632 nucleotides) under uncultured Bacteroidales bacterium. Its description in RNAcentral is "bacterial SSU rRNA". It matches the Rfam family "Bacterial small subunit ribosomal RNA", at positions 98 to 728 of the family's 1533-position model. The record is from RNAcentral. Lineage: Bacteria; Pseudomonadati; Bacteroidota; Bacteroidia; Bacteroidales.
GCGCACGGGUGAGUAACACGUAUCCAACCUGCCGUCUACUCUUGGACAGCCUUCUGAAAGGAAGAUUAAUACAAGAUGGCAUCAUGAGUCCGCAUGUUCACAUGAUUAAAGGUAUUCCGGUAGACGAUGGGGAUGCGUUCCAUUAGAUAGUAGGCGGGGUAACGGCCCACCUAGUCUUCGAUGGAUAGGGGUUCUGAGAGGAAGGUCCCCCACAUUGGAACUGAGACACGGUCCAAACUCCUACGGGAGGCAGCAGUGAGGAAUAUUGGUCAAUGGGCGCAGGCCUGAACCAGCCAAGUAGCGUGAAGGAUGACUGCCCUAUGGGUUGUAAACUUCUUUUAUAAAGGAAUAAAGUCGGGUAUGUAUACCCGUUUGCAUGUACUUUAUGAAUAAGGAUCGGCUAACUCCGUGCCAGCAGCCGCGGUAAUACGGAGGAUCCGAGCGUUAUCCGGAUUUAUUGGGUUUAAAGGGAGCGUAGAUGGAUGUUUAAGUCAGUUGUGAAAGUUUGCGGCUCAACCGUAAAAUUGCAGUUGAUACUGGAUAUCUUGAGUGCAGUUGAGGCAGGCGGAAUUCGUGGUGUAGCGGUGAAAUGCUUAGAUAUCACGAAGAACUCCGAUUGCGAAGGCAGCCUG